This 447-nucleotide ribosomal RNA is filed under the name uncultured bacterium. RNAcentral describes it as "partial 16S ribosomal RNA". It matches the Rfam family "Bacterial small subunit ribosomal RNA", at positions 29 to 523 of the family's 1533-position model. The record is from RNAcentral.
AACGAACGCUGGCGGCAGGCUUAACACAUGCGAGUCGAACGCAUCGCAAGAUGAGUGGCAGACGGGUGAGUAACGCGUGGGAACAUACCCUUUUCUACGGAAUAGCUCUGGGAAACUGGAAUUAAUACCGUAUACGCCCUACGGGGGAAAGAUUUAUCGGGGAAGGAUUGGCCCGCGUUGGAUUAGCUAGUUGGUGGGGUAAAGGCCUACCAAGGCGACGAUCCAUAGCUGGUCUGAGAGGAUGAGCAGCCACAUUGGGACUGAGACACGGCCCAAACUCCUACGGGAGGCAGCAGUGGGGAAUAUUGGACAAUGGGCGCAAGCCUGAUCCAGCCAUGCCGCGUGAGUGAUGAAGGCCUUAGGGUUGUAAAGCUCUUUCACCGAUGAAGAUAAUGACGGUAGUCGGGGAAGAAGCCCCGGCUAACUUCGUGCCAGCCGCCGCCGUAA